UGGAAAGGCGGGGCCUCAGAGUAGCAUCCGGGACACAAAUUACGUUAGAGGAAGAAGGGCCGUGGUGUAGGCGGAGCGCGAGGGCGUGACGCAUACGUGAGGGCGUGGCGAAGAUGGUCCGGCUCGAAGGAGGGGUGACCCAGGCGGAAGGCAGAGGCGGGACCAAGUUAGUGCGCAGGCGCGUGGUUGCGGCUGCAGGCUCCGAGCGACGGCAGCAGAGGUGUAGCCGGGGCAGAGACGGGGUGCGGACCCAGGCUCUGGGUGGACGGAGAGAGAUUCGGGCUCCGACGCGGUUAUUAGGUUCCUGCAAGUUAUUUGGGGCCCGGUCAAGAUUUCAAGCUAAACAUGGUGGCGAUGAGUAGCCUGAGGGUCAUUCUUCAAGCCUCUCCAUGCAAGUCACUGUGGAGAAGAUUGCAGACCGCCAGGUUCGUGCCAGCGAGGCCCUGCAGCCUCUACACCUGCACGUACAAAAGCCGGAACCGAGCCUUGCACCCGCUCUGGGAGACCGUGGACCUGGUCCCGGGGGGCGAGCGCCAGUCGCCCAUCAACAUCCGGUGGAGGGACAGCGUCUAUGAUCCUGGCUUAAAACCGCUCACCAUCUCUUACGACCCCACCACCUGCCUCCAUGUCUGGAAUAACGGGUACUCUUUCCUCGUGGAAUUUGAAGAUUCUGCAGAUAAAUCAGAUGAAGUGAAGCUCCGUGAAGUUCACUGCUUCCUUGCCAGGUCAUACAGCUGACAGCUGGAGAACUGGAUGGAAAAUCUGCAGACCACACUCUCUGCAGGGUCUCUGAGCUCCUGGAGGCUCAGCAGGUGCAGGCCUCCUGCAAACUCUGGAGGCGGAGUGUUGUCAGGGUGCCCCAGGUUUGUUUUCAUCAGCUACACAUCAUGAAGAGCUACAGAAAUUGGUGGACACUGUGCCGUCAAUUAAGCAUAAGGACACCCUUGUGGAAUUUGGGUCGUUUGAUCCUUCCUGCCUGAUGCCUGCCUGCCCAGAUUACUGGACCUACUCGGGAUCCCUGACUACCCCGCCACUCUCCGAGUCCGUCACCUGGAUCAUUAAGAAGCAGCCCAUAGAGGUUGAUCAUGAUCAGUGUCAGGUACAAAAGCCGAAGCCCUCGUGGCCCCCCUGCCUAGAAGCCAAGCGUCUGGGACCUGCAGUGGGAGCUGGAGGUUCCCCUGUCCUCAGCGGCGGGCACCCGGGGCAGUCGCUGUGUCCGCGGGGCCCUGGCCUGGCUCGUGCCGGACCCGUGUCCAGAGCGUUCCCCACGUGAGACUCCAUGUGCCGCCCUCGCGCCCUGAUACCAACAGUCGCUCUUAGACCUGCGAGUUCCCCGUCUGCCGACACUUGGGGCACUUGUGAAGGCCGGAUUUCCCCGUCAAAGGCCCCAACCCCGCCGCA
Molecule: RNA transcript, 1401 nt
Organism: Zalophus californianus (California sea lion)
Lineage: Eukaryota; Metazoa; Chordata; Mammalia; Carnivora; Otariidae
Gene name: carbonic anhydrase 5B, mitochondrial-like
Exons: 7
Source: RefSeq, a predicted model, not a curated record